UGGAGCAGCAUUUAUUUACAGCAAUUGCGAUACCUAUCAACGAGUAAGAUGUGUAAAAUCUAAGACAAUUUUCGUGCUUAGAAUUUGACAGGUAAACGAGAUGGCGCUGUACAGCUCCAUACAUUUUGCGGUAACUCUGAUUGUCAAAAGUUGACAUUUGACAAUUCAGUGACCGCAAAACAUAUGGCGCAGUACAGCGCCUUCUGUUUUCAAUCUCAAACUAAGGGGCACGUUUUGCUCUUAGACGUUACCUCUCUAUUACAAUUAAUUCUCUUUGCUAUUAAUGACGAAGCUCGACAUAAAGUAGCAGACCAGGUAUCAGUAUGCUGUUAUUGCAUUUGUUUUGUUGCGGGCGAAUAACGCGGAGGUUUACGGCGUGUUCAGUCAGAUAUAUGAAAGGAUUGUCAAUGGUCGGGUUUGUUUGGCGCGGUCGGCGGCUGAGUGGUGAAGUGGUAAUGUGGUAAAAGUGUAAUGAGAGGGUCGGUCGACUGGGCCCUGCGUGGCGCGAUGCGGCGCGGCCGGCGGGCAGCGGGGUGCGGGCGGGCGCGCGGAAGGAAUGCGUCGUUUUCGCAUCGGGAGAAACGAAUGCGUUUUAAGCGUCGCGGGUACACAAUGGCGGCGUGACGAGAUCCGGUUCGCGGGCGGCGCGGGUAAGAGGGCGGGGGCUCUAAUCGAUAGCCAGCGAGCGACGGCCGGGCGACUGCGGCGCAUAGGUGACAGCUCGGGCCCAAUCAAAUUACCGGCCAUGGAAGAGAGUUGCAACGCUAUGCCACGCACGGCGGAGGACAAGCCGCGGCGCUGCAGCGGCGCGUCCGUCGCCCGGGAACUUCGGGCCGCCCUCGCGCGCCCAGACACCUCGCUACGCAGGAGGUGUCUGCGACCUUGACGGCAGCGCCGCCGCCGGUCACAGGGGACUCGGCCGCGGCCGGGGGCGCCGGGCGCGCUUGAGGAGUCCGGGUGGGGCCACACUGCGAACCACGUGUACGAUUAGGUACCACAACCUUUGUUGCUAGCUUCGUGUUGCCUUAUGAACUUCCGUGAAUAUGACAUAAUAAUGAGUAAUGACACUAUUUAGAGUUGUUUUGUAAAAUGGGUUAUAUUUAUUCUGAAUAAAUGAUUUAUUUAUUUUUUAUUU
Molecule: long non-coding RNA, 1135 nt
Organism: Cydia pomonella (codling moth)
Lineage: Eukaryota; Metazoa; Arthropoda; Insecta; Lepidoptera; Tortricidae
Exons: 2
Source: RefSeq, a predicted model, not a curated record